RNAcentral lists this ribosomal RNA (346 nucleotides) under uncultured eukaryote. Its description in RNAcentral is "SSU rRNA". It matches the Rfam family "Eukaryotic small subunit ribosomal RNA", at positions 594 to 945 of the family's 1831-position model. The record is from RNAcentral.
AUAGCGUAUAUUAAAGUUGUUGAGGUUAAAAAGCUCGUAGUUGAACCUUGGGCCCAGCCGGCCGGUCCGCCUCACCGCGUGCACUGGCUCGGUUGGGCCUUUCUUUCUGAAGAACCCCAUGCCCUUCACUGGGUGUGGUGGGGAACCAGGACUUUUACCGUGAACAAAUUAGAUCGCUUAAAGAAGGCCUAUGCUCGAAUAUAUUAGCAUGGAAUAAUACAAUAGGACGUGUGUUUCUUUUUUGUUGGUUUCUAGGACCGCCGUAAUGAUUAAUAGGGACAGUCGGGGGCAUCAGUAUUCAAUUGUCAGAGGUGAAAUUCUUGGAUUUAUUGAAGACUAACUACUG